Molecule: ribosomal RNA, 301 nt
Filed under: uncultured bacterium
Lineage: Bacteria
Description: partial 16S ribosomal RNA
Rfam family: Bacterial small subunit ribosomal RNA
Source: RNAcentral
CAGUCGCCGCGGUAAUACGGAGGGAGCUAGCGUUAUUCGGAAUUACUGGGCGUAAAGCGCACGUAGGCGGCUUUGUAAGUUAGAGGUGAAAGCCCGGAGCUCAACUCCGGAACUGCCUUUAAGACUGCAUCGCUUGAAUCAUGGAGAGGUCAGUGGAAUUCCGAGUGUAGAGGUGAAAUUCGUAGAUAUUCGGAAGAACACCAGUGGCGAAGGCGGCUGACUGGACAUGUAUUGACGCUGAGGUGCGAAAGCGUGGGGAGCAAACAGGAUUAGAUACCCCCGUAGUCCCUGUCUCUUAUAC